Molecule: ribosomal RNA, 608 nt
Filed under: Vibrio sp. P709
Lineage: Bacteria; Pseudomonadati; Pseudomonadota; Gammaproteobacteria; Vibrionales; Vibrionaceae
Description: bacterial SSU rRNA
Rfam family: Bacterial small subunit ribosomal RNA
Source: RNAcentral
CCUUGAGCCGUGGCUUUCGGAGCUAACGCGUUAAGUAGACCGCCUGGGGAGUACGGUCGCAAGAUUAAAACUCAAAUGAAUUGACGGGGGCCCGCACAAGCGGUGGAGCAUGUGGUUUAAUUCGAUGCAACGCGAAGAACCUUACCUACUCUUGACAUCCAGAGAAGCCAGCGGAGACGCAGGUGUGCCUUCGGGAGCUCUGAGACAGGUGCUGCAUGGCUGUCGUCAGCUCGUGUUGUGAAAUGUUGGGUUAAGUCCCGCAACGAGCGCAACCCUUAUCCUUGUUUGCCAGCGAGUAAUGUCGGGAACUCCAGGGAGACUGCCGGUGAUAAACCGGAGGAAGGUGGGGACGACGUCAAGUCAUCAUGGCCCUUACGAGUAGGGCUACACACGUGCUACAAUGGCGCAUACAGAGGGCAGCAAGCUAGCGAUAGUGAGCGAAUCCCAAAAAGUGCGUCGUAGUCCGGAUUGGAGUCUGCAACUCGACUCCAUGAAGUCGGAAUCGCUAGUAAUCGUGAAUCAGAAUGUCACGGUGAAUACGUUCCCGGGCCUUGUACACACCGCCCGUCACACCAUGGGAGUGGGCUGCAAAAGAAGUGGGUAGUUUA